This 241-nucleotide long non-coding RNA is filed under the name Olea europaea (common olive). RNAcentral describes it as "long non-coding RNA (OEUR_LNC012340)". Lineage: Eukaryota; Viridiplantae; Streptophyta; Magnoliopsida; Lamiales; Oleaceae. The record is from RNAcentral.
UGAGAUGUCGAGUGGGAUUGACCUUUAAGACUCCUAUAUGGGAGGACAUGAUUCAAUUCCCAAAGACGCCACCUUUUUAGCAUGAAAUCAAUAGUGUGUAAAUGGGUUAUCCCUAUAGCUUGAGUCCACCAUAUAGAGAGCAUGUUUGGCUGGACUUAUCUUAAAAAUAAAUACCCAUCCUAUGGCUAAAAGAUAAGCAUCAAAUUCCAGCCAAACAUGCUCAGAAACUUUAGGGUGAGGG